UGGGGAAUAUUGCACAAUGGAGGGAACUCUGAUGCAGCGACGCCGCGUGAACGAAGAAGGCUUUCGAGUCGUAAAGUUCUUUUAUAUGGGAAGAUAAUGACGGUACCAUAAGAAAAAGCCCCGGCUAACUACGUGCCAGCAGCCGCGGUAAUACGUAGGGGGCUAGCGUUGUCCGGAAUCACUGGGCGUAAAGGGUUCGCAGGCGGAAAUGCAAGUCAGGUGUAAAAGGCAGUAGCUUAACUACUGUAAGCAUUUGAAACUGCAUAUCUUGAGAAGAGUAGAGGUAAGUGGAAUUUUUAGUGUAGCGGUGAAAUGCGUAGAUAUUAAAAAGAAUACCGGUGGCGAAGGCGGCUUACUGGGCUCAUUCUGACGCUGAGGAACGAAAGAGUGGGUAGCAAACAGG
Molecule: ribosomal RNA, 403 nt
Filed under: bacterium
Lineage: Bacteria
Description: partial 16S ribosomal RNA
Rfam family: Bacterial small subunit ribosomal RNA
Source: RNAcentral